This 255-nucleotide ribosomal RNA is filed under the name uncultured bacterium. Its description in RNAcentral is "partial 16S ribosomal RNA". It matches the Rfam family "Bacterial small subunit ribosomal RNA", at positions 524 to 776 of the family's 1533-position model. The record is from RNAcentral.
UACGUAGGUGGCAAGCGUUUGUCCGGAUUUAUUGGGUUUAAAGGGUGCGUAGGCGGUUGUAUAAGUCAGUGCUGAAAUAUCCCAGCUUAACUGGGAGGGUGGCAUUGAUACUGUAUGACUUGAGUAGAGUUGAGGUUGGCGGAAUUGACGGUGUAGCGGUGAAAUGCUUAGAUAUCGUCAAGAACACCGAUAGUGAAGACAGCUAACUAAGCUCUAACUGACGCUGAGGCACGAAAAGUGUGGGGAUCAAACAGG